UGGGAUGUAGCUCAGUGGUAGAGCAUUUGCCUAGCGUGCAUGAGGCCUUUGCUUCAAUCCUUAGUAUCACAA
Molecule: non-coding RNA, 72 nt
Organism: Ictidomys tridecemlineatus (thirteen-lined ground squirrel)
Lineage: Eukaryota; Metazoa; Chordata; Mammalia; Rodentia; Sciuridae
Source: Rfam